RNAcentral lists this long non-coding RNA (1755 nucleotides) under Pan troglodytes (chimpanzee). RNAcentral describes it as "long non-coding RNA NONPTRT001796". Lineage: Eukaryota; Metazoa; Chordata; Mammalia; Primates; Hominidae. The record is from RNAcentral.
CGCUUUUCCGCCCCGGCUCUUCUUUUGUUGUCAAGUCCUUUUGAUAAAUGGUGGGGCUGGGAGAUCUGGGAGUCGGGAGCCAGUCUGUGCCCGCGUGGGGGGCGGGGGCCGAGCCUGGAGACCCGGUUUCGACCGGCGCGCACCUGGGGCUGAGCCGGGUGCGCGCGGGGGUCGGGUCUGGAACUGCCCUCGGUAUGCUCGCCUUCUCCUCUUGGCCCAUCUCACUCCCCUCCCCCACCUGACUCCCCUCCCCGGCUUCUUUCUCUGUCUCCCACUCCGCACGGGUACCGAGAACUUUCCGGGAAUCGACGGGAUUUCUCUGGCUGUCGUUUGCGCUGCAUUUAUCCGAAUAAAUCCAGCUCGCAGGCAUCCUGCAAGAAACGGCUCCCGGCUCGCGUGUACGCCGACACCUUGGCCCAACGCAGGACUCGAGGUGGCUUCUAGUGCCCGGGUGGCUGCAAGUCUGCCCUCCGAGGGAGGCUGGACAAGCGGCGCCCCCAGGUCGAGCGGCCUCUCGCUGCCUGGCAGUGCCUGGCAGCCCCCACCCCUGCCAGUGCUUCGGAAACCUGCCUGGCCAGGUUCGCCCGCGGUGAAAAAUGAAAGCAAAUUCCCCAACAGAGGUAGCCGGAACUUUCCUCGACGAAGGCUCCCUCCUGCGCCUGUGUCUGGAGAACCCCCAGAGCGCUGCAAGUUAGCAAGAGAGAUUCGAUGGCGGCUCUGGAAGGCGCACGAAGGGUGGGGCGGGGGAGCAAAGAGGCCACUGGGUGACCCAGCCUGGCCCGGGGUGAAACGCUAGAGAAGGCGCCUCGCCUUCCUUAUUUCAAUGCAACUCCUCGGCCCCAGACGGUAAAAAUAGUUUCCAAGCUGCCGCGGACGCCCAGGAUGUGUUUGCAGAGAUCAAACUGGGGAGGAGGCAGCUUUGUGAAAGUUGCAGAAAGAUUAGCCGAGAAGCGUCCGCCCGGCGGGGCUCAAGAAAGCUUGGGGACAGCUCCAUGUUCCUUGGGGCGGAAUGGCCCAAGAAUUGGCCUGGGUAACCCCCUGCCCAGUUCUCUGUCCUCACUUCGAGCCAGUGCUUAAAUAACUUCCCGCCGCCUGCCCUGCAAACUUCCCAGCGCGGCGCCGUUGAGGCCAGGACACAGCAAAGGCUAGCAAAACCCCGCCGCGGCGCGCUCGGCCCCAGCCCUGAGAGGCUGCGCGGGUGGGAGGACCAGUGUGGUUUCUGCUCCCACUCGGCUGCCCAGACCCUCAAGACCGAUCCCCCAACUCCUGGGAGCGGGUGCUUCCCUCUGGGAGCCGAGAUCUUGCGGGGCCAGCGAGGGCGCAAAGUGCGCGCGCUGGCCCGCGCGGGGGCGGCCGCGCGUCUCUCCGCGGGGCCUGUCGCCAGGCCGGCCGCGGCGGGUGAGUGAUGAGGGCAGAGAAGGGCGCCCAUAAAUCGCGGGUGUCAGGGCGAAAAACUCUCUUUAUUGUCUGCGUGAUGGAUGGGCCCGGGGACGAGACACCAAAUACUUCGUAUCGCCUUUAAAUGGGAACACAUUUUCCGCGGCCAUAAUUCAUGUUUUUUAAAUAGAAAGUUUGAAAUGUUGCCUAUAUUUCACCAGCCCUGACAUAUUUAUGAAUCGCUCCCUGCAUGCAAAUAUCAUUACUUAAAGCGCCGGGGAGAGCGCGGGGGAGGGGAGGAGGCGCGGUUCCCGGGGCGCGGGGGUGGUGAACCGGGGAAAUAUCGGUGGAGGGGGGCCAUCUCCCUAAAGGGCAGAG